CAGCCGCCGCGGUAAUACGUAGGUGGCAAGCGUUGUCCGGAAUUACUGGGCGUAAAGGGCGUGUAGGCGGGGGGACAAGUCAGAUGUGAAAUACCGCGGCUUAACUGCGGGGGUGCAUCUGAAACUGUUCUUCUUGAGUGUCGGAGAGGAAAGUGGAAUUCCCAGUGUAGCGGUGAAAUGCGUAGAGAUUGGGAGGAACACCAGUGGCGAAGGCGGCUUUCUGGACGAUAACUGACGCUGAGGCGCGAAAGCGUGGGGAGCAAACAGGAUUAGAUACCCUGGUAGUCCACGCUGUAAACGAUGGAUACUAGGUGUAGGAGGUAUCGACCCCUUCUGUGCCGGAGUUAACACAAUAAGUAUCCCGCCUGGGGAGUACGGCCGCAAGGCUGAAACUCAAAGGAAUUGACGGGGGCCCGCACAAGCAGUGGAGUAUGUGGUUUAAUUCGAAGCAACGCGAAGAACCUUACCAGGGCUUGACAUCCCUCUGACUGGCAUAGAGAUAUGCCUUCCCUUCGGGGCAGAGGAGACAGGUGGUGCAUGGCC
RNAcentral lists this ribosomal RNA (543 nucleotides) under uncultured archaeon. Its description in RNAcentral is "bacterial SSU rRNA". It matches the Rfam family "Bacterial small subunit ribosomal RNA", at positions 509 to 1050 of the family's 1533-position model. The record is from RNAcentral.